AUGAGCUUGGAGGAACACUCUUCCCCAAGCCUGCAGAUGGAAGCACAGCCAGCCCAAUAUCUCGAUUUUGGCCUUGAGACUCUGAGCAGAGAACCUAAUCAACCCCGCCCAGGCUUCCCACCUACCGAAAUGGAGAUAAUAACAACUGUUGUUUUAAGUCACCAAAUUUGUGGUAAUCUUUUAUGCAGCAAUAGAAAACUAAUAUACAUAGCAUCUUUAAAAGCCUAUGAAAACCAUGGAGAGUAUAUUGCAAGGAAGAUAGACUCGGGAGAUGACACCAGCCUCAGGAGUCAUUGCUGUUUUCUGUACAAGAAAUAAUGUGAGAUUUAAUCUCCCUCUUUUUAAACCUUCCUGAAUUUUUCUUCACCUUUACUAAGUAAAUAGCUAUCAUGCAGUAUCACCUCCCUCCCUUCUGUGAGUCACUUAAUGAAGACUUGCCUGUACACCUCAUUGGCAAUUUGUUUUUCAGUGACAAGGUGACAGUUUUGGUUCAUUUAACAAACAACCAAUUUCGAACCAUUGAGAAACCAUCUGGGAAUGCUGUUCUCUUGAGAUAAGAAUGUUGUUUUCUAAUUGGUCUCUUUUAUAGAAACUGUGUUUCUUCUUUCUACACAAUGCUUACGACUGUUUUGUGGCAAGAGGAAUUCUGAACGUUGAUGUCGGUGACGCUCACUUUAAAUGCCUGUGGCAUUAGUGCAAUCUAAUGGAAAGCUACUGUCUGGCAUUCCCAAUGGCCACUGAAUUCAUUAGCUUUUAAGACAAUCCACAGGGAAACACUUAAACAUGUAUAAAAGCCACUAUGCAAAAUAAAGAUUUGAUUAUUAAAACCUCUAAGACAUGAAGUACUAUUCUAUAUGUUGGUUUUGUUUAGAUAUGAUGCUUAUUGAACAUAAUUUCAGGACUAUUUUAGGCUCAAUAUUUGCAUUUCAGUUUCACAUAAAAAUGUUACAUAAUGCAUUAAUGCAUUUUAUAAUGUGUUAAAGAGAUUGAUACCAAUUCAUGCCUACCGGUUAAAGAGUGGGGUUUAUACUUUCUUGAUCCAGUUUUAUCUUGUUUUUUUGAGACAGUCUUGCUCUGUUGCUCAGGCUAGAGUGCACUGGUGCGAUCUCAGCUCACUGCAACAACUGCCUCCCAGGUUCAAGCGAUUCUCCUGCCUCAGCCUCCUGAGUAGCUGGGAUUACAGGAUCCCACCACCACACGUGGCUAAUUUUUUUUUUUUUUUUUUUGUAUUUUUAGUAGAGACGGGGUUUUGCCAUGUUGGCAAUUUUGGUAGCUCCUGACCGCAGGUGAUUCACCUGCCUCAGCCUCCCUAAGUGCUGGGAUUACAAGUGUGAGCCACUGUGCCUGGCCUCAGUUAUUUGUUUAUUCACAUUGUUUUUAAGAGACAAGAGUCUUGCUCAGUCACCUGGCCUGGAGUGCAGUGGUGUGACCAUAGCUCAUUGCAACUUCGAACUCCUUGGCUCAAAUGAUCCUUCACUUCAGCCUCUCUAGUAUUUGGUACUACAGGUAUAUUCCACAGCACCCAGCUAAAUUUUUUUUAUUUUUUGUAGAGACAGGGCAGUCUCACUUUGUUGCCCGGGCUGGUCUCGAACUCCUAGCUUCAGGUGAUCCUCCUGUCUUGGCUUCCCAAAGUGCUAGGAUUACAGGCAUGACCCACUGCACUUGGCUCAUUUUUUUUAAGUGCUAAAUACCCACCAUCCGCACGGAAUUAAGUCAGGGAAAUGAGAGGUGAAUAUAAAGACAAUAAUUUAAUUCAAAAACGUUGCAAAAGAACACUGAAAUCAGAUCUCCCUUAUGUUACCAACACUGCUCUCCAAUUUAAGCCCUGAAGUUACUUCAGCUUUCUUAGCCUCAUAAGUGGAUGAAGAGGUGGAAGUGAAGUAAGAGUUAGGGAAUAGAAAUCACAAACAUGAACCCUGUGUGCCUCACAGCUUUACCUCUGAACCCAGUAGAGACCACAUAAAGCAAAGAUGGUUACAAUUUCCCUUGGAAACUUGCCUGAAACCUUCAUUGUCUUGAUUGAUCAGACUCCUCUCUGGAUUCUCCUUCCUCACCUGUGAGGCGAAUCUUGGCUCCCAGUGGACUGCAGAACCAGGAGCCUCUAAGACAGAGGAUCCUCUCACCCCUAGUUCUCAUUCUCUCUCUCGCUCUCUCAUACACACACAAACACAAACACACACACACACACACACUCUGGAGUCACUGGCUUAGAAGUUCUCUUACUGGGAUACUCAACCUUAACCACUGAUCUUCAAGUCUGACCAUUCGAUCAUACUUGCCUAUUAACAAACCAAGCUCUACGUUGAACUGAUACCAAGGAGUUUUGGUAACAAUCCAAAUUAUUUCUCAUGUAUCCAAAGCAAUAGAUAUACACAAACACAAUAUACAUAUAUGUGUGUAUAUGUAAAUUAAGCCUAUAUAUGCAAAUUGAGUCCUAAGAACCUGGCUAUAGAAAUAUGCAAAUUAAAUUUUAGUUUAAGCAAAUUAAGCAAUAAACAUCUUUAGAAAUGAA
RNAcentral lists this long non-coding RNA (2512 nucleotides) under Pan troglodytes (chimpanzee). RNAcentral's name for it is "lncRNA (ENSPTRG00000054313.1)". Lineage: Eukaryota; Metazoa; Chordata; Mammalia; Primates; Hominidae. The record is from RNAcentral.